This is an RNA transcript of Nematostella vectensis (starlet sea anemone), 2797 nucleotides long. It is a transcript of the gene named cytosolic arginine sensor for mTORC1 subunit 1, with no coding region annotated. The transcript has 10 exons. The record is from RefSeq and is a predicted model, not a curated record. Lineage: Eukaryota; Metazoa; Cnidaria; Anthozoa; Actiniaria; Edwardsiidae.
AGGUUAGGUUGUCUUGCCUUGAUCUGUUCAGUAAAUAUAUCUUCUGCAUAUUUUAGAAUUUGGAAAGAAAACUUAUCGAGAAGCCAGAAAUAGCUAUUAUCACUCUAUCUAUUCGAAGAGAGGAAGCUGUGCGGUAUCUGUGCAUUGAGCGUUGGGUUACAAUUCAACACAGCAGUGUAAAUCCACUCCAAAAAUGCUCGAAGGUGCUGACAUUGACGGGGAUAAGUCGCAAGUUUAGGGCAAGUGUGUCUUCGUACAGGAAGCGUAACUGUAAACUCUAUACGGGGCCAGGGUCACAGAGUACGUAAGCUCAAGCUAAAAACACAAACACAACUGUUGCGAGUGUAAUUUGCAAGCGAAGGGGACGAUCAAGAUCUUAGAGAGAGAGAGCAACGGGGUAUUUUGUCUGAUGUUCUCUUGCGCUUCACAGCUAGCCGUUUGAGUAAGACGUCCCGGGAUUCUUUGUACUUGUAUAUCUCGUGGAUGUGUCCAAAGUUAUGAAUGGUUUUACGGACUCUUCGCUAGAGUUACACAUUCUAGAGCACAAACUUCGGGUAACCAACGUGAAGAAACAUGCGAUCAGCAACUAUAUGCACGCACUGGUCAAGAUUUCCUUACUUCCACACUCCAGUCCAAAGUUUUUUAGUUUUACAGAGACCCGCGAUGGAUAUACUGUUAUCGCAGAAGAUGAGCUUUACCGAGAGCUGCCUGUAGGAGAGUGUAUUGAUGUAGCUGACCCCCUCUGGAGAGUGUUAACAGUCUCAGCAGGGGCACUUGGCUCAUUAAACUUGACUGGCAUAAGCAAGAUUGUCAAGAGUGUCAUUUCCCCUCUGGCAGAUAACAAGAUUUCUGUACUUAUAAUCUCCACCUACCAGUCAGAUUAUGUGCUAGUAAAAGACUUAGAUUUGCUUUCUGCAAUAAACUGUCUCUCCAAUAACUUCAAGGUCUUCAUGGACAAAGGCUCUCGUCUUGAGCCUGUUUCUCCUACAUUGCAAGAGAAAAUGAAUGCUAUGCAACACCCAAGCACUGCCCCGCCAGUUAAACCUCGGCCAAUUACUCAUCCAUUUGUCUGCCCACUUAACAAGUUUUACAUUUCAAGUCUGGACAUGAAAACCCUACACCAACUGACACCUAUUAUACUAGACCUCAUGUUCUACUCAAAUUCACGACCACAACGUGGAGAAGAUUUUGAGCAGUUCUUUCACCUGUCAAUUGUGGAUGGUGAUAUUUCACUUUUGCUUGAUGAACUUGCACUUUCAAGAUUUCCUAAGGGCAGUCUGCUGACAUGUAACAGUGAGGAAUGCUGGCGCAUGAUACGUAUUGGGGAUCAUCCGCUUGGUUUUGAUGAGUGCGGUGUAGCAGCAGAGAUAGCGGAGCCCCUGGCGGAUGCGCAAAUGACAGCGUACUACCUCAGUACCUACGCCUUGGGCCAUACUCUGAGCAGACGGGGGUUGUGGCGCAGGCCUCGGAGCCUUUAGCUGACGCAGACAUCAUUACUUUCUGUAUCUGCUCUUACAAAUAUGAUUACCAGCUGAUUCCAGAGUCCGAGCUACAGAAUGCUUUGGAUAUUUUAAAUCCCUUAAAAGUGUGACAAGCAUCAGAGAAAGAUUAUAGGCAUUUACUUAAUAAAAGGAAAAAUGCUUCUUUAAUUAGCCCCGAACAAUAGGAUACGGAUUACUUAGUGAACGAUAGUGAGAAAUAAAACAAAUAAUCCUUAAUAAACUUCAAAAGACUAAUAAGAAAUUAGAAAUUUUCAAAUUACUCGAAAUAUCAGUUUUGAUUAUUUGUUGUCUAACAAACAUUUUUGUUGUCUAACAAACAUUUCUACGACGGGAGUUUGAGGGGCAAGAAAAAGUAGUUACCAGGACAGUGAGAAUGAAAGAGGAUGAAAUUCCUGUAUUUAUGUUGUACAGUGGAAACUCGAUACAACGAUGAUAACGAUCACCGAUGUCGAGUACGGACAACAGCAAAAGGAAUUAAUAUGUUGAUAUGUGGGAAAUGAUCUUAACGAUUACUCGUUAUAAUGUUGUAAUGUGUUUGUCCAUUGCAUAUCAUCAUUAUAUCGAGGUUACAUUGUAUAUCAAAUGUAUUUGUAAAAUUCAUUAUUUAUUCUUUGCGAGUGAAACCAACCCUGGCACAGUAUUCGGAUCAUAUGUACACCCCUGUUAACACCAAACAAAUCUGCUAUCACUAAAGCGUGGGGAGGGUUUGAAUAGAUAGCAGUGAAAUGCUGGGGUUGAUGAAUUAUUAAACAGUAGCAUUAACUUUUGAUACAGGUGUCUACUAAUAAGCCUUGAAAACACAUGGACAUACUUUUGUCAAGGCAUUUACUUUCAUUUUAAGGCAGGGCGGGGCAAUACAGAAACAUCAAGAAAAUAUUUUGGGGCACGGCCACGCCCCUACUGGUCAUUUCCUUAUAUUUUUUUAAAAUAUUAGGGGGGGGGGCGUGCCUCAAGUACCCUACCCCUGUCUCGGGUGACAAGGAACUUUUUUUUCUCAGUUUUUGGCGCACGGAAACAAGCUGUUGCUAUCUGCAUUUUAGCAUGAAAAAGUUAACAUUUCCGUCCAUGCAUUUUCUUUUCUCUAGGGGCGUAAUGGAAUGCGACCCGAUUACCGAUUGGAUAACAAAGAGAAGCAUUCACUGUAUUGUAUUUAUUUACUAGUGGGAUAAAAUACUUGAUUACUUUAAAAUACUACUUUUAAGUGUUGAAAAACAUGUAUCUAAGUACGUUUAUAUAUUUUGUACUUAUUGUACUUAUUUACGGGUUUAAUAAAUAUGUUUGAUUUUAUAAAAAAA